RNAcentral lists this signal recognition particle RNA (277 nucleotides) under Aureococcus anophagefferens. RNAcentral's name for it is "Metazoan signal recognition particle RNA". It matches the Rfam family "Metazoan signal recognition particle RNA". From Rfam's summary of the family: The signal recognition particle (SRP) is a universally conserved ribonucleoprotein. It is involved in the co-translational targeting of proteins to membranes. The eukaryotic SRP consists of a 300-nucleotide 7S RNA and six proteins: SRPs 72, 68, 54, 19, 14, and 9. Lineage: Eukaryota; Pelagophyceae; Pelagomonadales; Pelagomonadaceae. The record is from Rfam by way of RNAcentral.
GCCGAGUGCCUGUCACACUUCGGUGGCCUUGGCUAGUGAAUGCACGACUCCCUCCGAGUGCUGGGAUCAAAUGCCACGUUUACGGUUUGCCCAUAAGAGAGUCUUAGUGCUGGGCCGAAAACUCCGUGUAGAUGGAGUUUUUGCCCAAGCGUUAACGCGAGGGUACUGCCUCAGGCCGGCAACGGAACAGGGUUACCUCCUGCUAGGACUGGUCUAUGGACUACGAACUGGAGUGGUACCUAGUAACGAAGAGUAGGAUCGUGUGGACACUAGCCCU